This is a long non-coding RNA of Drosophila serrata, 635 nucleotides long. NCBI's taxonomy places the organism in Eukaryota, Metazoa, Arthropoda, Insecta, Diptera, Drosophilidae. The record is from RefSeq and is a predicted model, not a curated record.
GCAUCCACAGUACAGUGCUUUGUUGGGCCUUCUGGGUCUAGUUUUGUUCUUUGGAGCGAGUUCAACUGCCCAGCCAGCUGAGGAAGUUUCUCCCAGAUUUGUGGACAUUAGCCCCAAUAGCCUGAUAUUUAUCAAUAACAUAUAUUACUACAUUGAGUCCUCGGCCCUUAAGAACUGGUUUAAUGCCCUCGAAGCCUGCAAGAAAAUUGGCUAUGAAUUAGUCUCGCUUCAGACUGAAGAGAAAUACAACGUGUUGGUUGAUUUUCUGGUCUCUUCUGGGCAAUCACUAUAUUUUUGGACCUCUGGAAAUGACCUCUACACUUUGGGAACACACCAUUGGUAUCCCAGUAAUGUGACAGUCUUAGCCAGCCUUUGGGGAAACAGGCAACCAGACAAUGCAGGUGGAGUGGAACACUGCGAUGCACUUUGGAAGAUAAGUAACAAUUACACCCUGAAGGACGACAACUGCAAUAUAGCUAAAAAUUAUAUUUGUGAGCUGGCAGCUCCUUCUACUUCCCCUUGAUUCUUAAACAAAACUAUAUAUUUUAGCACCAAAUUCUUAUUAUAUUUAUUAUUUCAACCUUACUGAACUUGUAUUUUAUGCUUUUAACUGAUUAAACCGAAAUAUUAUUCAA